RNAcentral lists this ribosomal RNA (432 nucleotides) under uncultured bacterium. RNAcentral describes it as "bacterial SSU rRNA". It matches the Rfam family "Bacterial small subunit ribosomal RNA", at positions 338 to 767 of the family's 1533-position model. The record is from RNAcentral.
CCUACGGGGGGCAGCAGUGAGGAAUAUUGGUCAAUGGGCGGGAGCCUGAACCAGCCAAGUCGCGUGAGGGAAGACGGUCCUAUGGAUUGUAAACCUCUUUAGGCGGGGAGCAAUGCCGGGCACGCGUGCCCGGAGGGAGAGUACCCGCAGAAUAAGCAUCGGCUAACUCCGUGCCAGCAGCCGCGGUAAUACGGAGGAUGCGAGCGUUAUCCGGAUUUAUUGGGUUUAAAGGGUGCGUAGGCGGAUUUUUAAGUCAGCGGUAAAAUGUCCGGGCUCAACCCGGGCCGGCCGUUGAAACUGGGGAUCUUGAGUGGGCGAGAAGUAUGCGGAAUGCGUGGUGUAGCGGUGAAAUGCAUAGAUAUCACGCAGAACUCCGAUUGCGAAGGCAGCAUACCGGCGCCCGACUGACGCUGAGGCACGAAAGCGUGGGGA